This 216-nucleotide long non-coding RNA is filed under the name Elaeis guineensis (African oil palm). Its description in RNAcentral is "long non-coding RNA (EGUI_LNC005779)". Lineage: Eukaryota; Viridiplantae; Streptophyta; Magnoliopsida; Arecales; Arecaceae. The record is from RNAcentral.
CCCCUCCCCACUCCUGAGCCUGACGUCGCAUUAACCCGCGUCACCACGCAGGCGAAAGGAGUGGAUUCUUUGCUGCAUCCUGGAUCGAAUUUGCCGAUCUCACCGACAGAUGGUCCGGCCAAGUCGACGUCAGAUGUCCCGCUGUUCGAUGAUGGGACGUCAAACAAUCUGGUGCCAGGCGAUCGGGUGCCAGACGAUUCGAUGUCAGGCGAUCGG